CCCCCUCGCUGGCUCACUCGCUUCACUCACUCAUUCCCCACUCGCUCUCGUCCAAAUCCCUAGCUCGCCUCGCUCCACUGCUCGCGUCGUUGCCGCUCGCCUCUCUCUCGCCUGCAUCGCCACCGUCAUCUCGCCCGCGUCGACGUCGACGCUCGCCUCCAUCCCACACGUGUCGCUGCCGCCUCCUUCCUAUGACGUCUUCGCCGCUCCUUCUCACCCGCGUCACCUGCACCAGCGAGGUCGUAACAAGAUUGUUUUUGUUACCAAAGUGGAGGCGAGGAGCAGCUGGAGAGUUGUGCCGGUGGCUGGGUCUGUAGUGGCUGGACGUCCCCGCCAUGAGGAUGAGUGGGAGCAGCAAGAGCACAUCUGGAGAUGGGGAGGAUUGGACGCGGCAGUUCUGAAUUUGAAGAUGGUGCCGUGAGGAGGACCGGGAGGAGCAGUCGCCGACGGCCUCGCUGAAUGGGGUAUGCUUUCCCCUUCGUCUCCUAUGGCAUCGUGGACAUCCUGCUCGAUGACGAACAUCUGCUCGAGGACAUCCUACUCGAUGAUGCUCCUCUUCACCUCACCAAUGGCAGGGGCCUGAGGCAGGGUGACCUGGCUUCCCCCUUCUCUUUAACUUCAUGGUUGACUCCCUUUCCCACAUCCUGACCCGGGCUGCGGCUGCUGGCCAUACUACCCCUUUCAGCUCCCAUCUUGCUCCUAAUGACAUUUCCCACCUCCGAUACGCGGAUGAUACCAUCAUUAUGGUGGAGCUUAACGAUGAAAGUGUGGCCCAGUUGAAAUUCCUUCUCCUUUGCUUCAAAGCUCUCUUUGGACUCAAAAUUAUUUUUGCCAAGAGUGAAGUUAUUGUUACGUGGGUGUCGGAUGCUGAGGCUCUUAGAGUGGCUCAUUUAUUAAACUGUUCUCUAGGCUCUUUCCCUUUCAAAUACCUUGGCUUACCAAUCUCCCCCAACAAGUUGUUGACGAAAGAUUUCGCCUCGGCCAUUUCGAAAGUGGGCAACCAGGUGCUGCCUUGUAGAGGCCGCUAUAACACCCAAGCUAGCAAGGUUGCCUUAAUCAAUGUCUGCCCCUCCUCUCUCCCCAUGUUCUUGAUGGGCUUCUACCUCCUUUCGAGAGGGACUCAUGCUGGGUUUGACAAGCACAGGGGCGCCUUUUACUGGAAUUUGGUGGACAACAAGCAUAAAUAUAGGAUGGUGAAAUGGAAGCUUAUUUGCAGACCCAAAAGCCUUGGGGGGUUGGGCAUUAUUAACACUGCUGUCAUGAACAAAUGCCUCAUCAUUAAGUGGUGGUGGAAAAUCUUGUCCCCCACGGAGGCCCCACUGUGGCUUAGCAUUCUCAAAUCUAAAUACUUUCCUGAGUCUAGUCCCAUGUUCGUGUCGGCCUCUGCCGGCUCCCAAUUCUGGCGUCACCUCGUCAAAGUUUGUCUGUUUUUAAGUCUCUGGUCAAAUUUGUUGUUAGGAAUGGAAAAUCUACGCGCUUUUGGUUAGACUGGUGGUGUCGGGAGGCCACCCUGGAGGUGACAUUCCCGGUUUUGUUUUCCUAUUGUCCUGACCCGGAGAUCUCAAUCUCCGAGCUCUCCGUGAAUAAUUGGGCCUUGGACCUUCAUAGGAUGCUCUCUCCCGAAGAGUUGGAAGAUUGGCAUCAUAUUACUGCUUGCUUCCCUCUGCUCUCGGAGGAGGAGGACUCGGUGGUCUGGCCCCACUCUACCUCUGGCCGUUUUUUGGUCAAAUCCUUGUACACCAAACUGAUUUCAGGCUCUCCUACUUCCAAGUUCAAGUGCAUAUGGAGUGCCCGCGUCCCACCUAAGAUCAAAAUUUUCCUGUGGCAAGCUUAUCAUGGGAAGCUUCCUGCAGCGGACCAAAUCCGGAAAAGGAACGGCCCGAGUUCGAAUAGAUGUGCCUUGUGUGGGGAUCUUGAAAACACGGAUCACAUUUUCUUCUGGUGCUCCUUGGCUAAAUUUGUUUGGUGCUGCAUCCGCUCCUGGCUCCAGGUGUCGUGGGACCCCUCUUCUUUCGAGGAUCUUAGGGGUUUGGUCAACGGUUUAUCUGGGAAUUCAAAAAGGAUCUCCUAGGUUGGGUUUGCAGCGAUUUGUUGGUCACUGUGGACCACUAGAAACAAGUUUACCAUAGAGCAUAUCUUCCCAGCUAAUCCUGAUGAUUGCUUAUUCAAAACUGGAAUAUUCUUGCAGCAGUGGAGAUCAUUGACUAGGGAUACUGAUCAGUAGGCCUUCGAUGCUAUGGCGUCCAAUAUUAGGGCUAUGGUUUCGUACUUGGUGCGCAGUCAACGCGAAGAUUCUUAAACCCUGAUGUCUCCCUUUAGUCUUAUUCUGGCCCGCGUGCCAUAUCUGACUGGUUAGCCAUGUACCUGAACUCCUUUUCUUUGUCUACCUUGUUCCUAUGGUUGGUUGGAUGUUGGUUGUGCUACUCUGCCUGGUGGCUUUGUUUAUAAAGUCGGGCGUACGCCUUUUAUCUUAAAAAAUGCUCCUCUUCACCAGCAUCUCCAAUGCAUGGUGAGCUUCCCCUGUCUCCACCCUUUACUCAUGGUUGCCUCUGUGUUUUGGUUUAGAUUUGCAGCACUUCUUGGGUACAUAUUAGGAGUAGGGUACAGUUUAUUUGUAUGCGUAUGGGCACGGAUUAGGAGUAGGACAUGUAGUUGUAGUCACAGUUUUAGUAAAUUUCAGUAAACACAAUGUGAGUGUUUUACUCAAGUAAUCUUGCUUGAAGUAAAUUUUAGUAACUUCAGUAAUCUUGCUUGAAGUACUCUGAAAAUAUGAAAAUAUACUCAGAAAAUGUAUUGCUUGUACGGGUGAUCUUGCAGAUAGGAGGAGAGUUCUUUUACUCAGAGCAGGUGUUGAUCUACAGCAAUUCUAGGAGUAGGAUUUAGGAUAAUCAUAGUUUCAGUUUGCCAAGCAGGGAAUAUAGUUUAACUGGAAAUCAACCAACUAUUGGUUUGAACUGGAAGUCAACCUCUGUACUGAUGUUAGAUUGAUUGACUGAAACUAAAACUAAAAUCCAUCAAAUUCUUAAUCUGAGCAAUGUUAGAUUGAUUAUUCAAUAUCUGCAAUCCAUCAAAUUCUUCAAGAUCUGCUAUGCAUUUGUAACUGAACUAUGCAUUUAGCUGAAACAGUGUCCUCUGUAGUGAUGUUGCUAAAACAAUUCCUUCAUUUACCUAAUCACUAUGUAGUGAUGUUUUUGUAAAUUGUAUACUCCUUCAUACUGAAGGCAAUGGUGCUGAAACAUCAUACUCCAUUUAGCUGAAACAAUGACUGUCAACAAUCUCCAUUUACCUGAAACAAUGACGGUCAACAUACUCCAUUUACCAGCGGCUCGAUGGUUGUGGGCCAGAUCUAAUGGCUUGCAAAAGGGAUUGUUCAAAUUAGUAAAAAGUAAUAUUGAAGCCAAAUUACUCAAAACCAAUAUUGGACUUCCAUAUACCUGGACCUUCUUUGGGGAGUCUAUUAACAUUGGUGAUAUCACCAAGAGGGUAUUUGAGGCCAUUUUUCACAUCCAUUUGUCGCUGUCGGUGUUCCUGUUGUUUCUUCUUCUGGUAAGAUUCUGGUCUCUAUCUAUUCAACUUAUGAUUUGUUCUUGGUACUGUUCCUCUUCUUUUUCUGUUGUUUUUGUAAGCUGCUCUUCCAUGCAUUUAUGACAUCCCUUUCUUCCGUUGAUAAGGUCCCUUUAUGUUGGCCAUCACGGCCCCUCGUAGUUGGACCUGUUAUUGCAGGUCUAUACAUAUUAGCAUCCGAACCAGGACAAUCAAGUUCAAUGAUCUCACCGUUGAUUGGACCUAGAACAGUAAUAGUAUUUACCGCUACAACCAUGAACCAUCAGGGCUGCAAUAAAAUCACAAUUUGGACCGUGAGAUGGAUUACAUUUGUCGCUACAAUAUUUUUAGAAAUUCAAAGGAGGUGUGAGUUCGGAAGUUAUACCUAGACUUCCUCUGGGGAGUUCUAUGGUUGAUGAAGUGGGGAUUGUUGCUUCAGGUAUAAUCAGGCCGCUCGAUGGUUGUCGGUAGAUGCAAUGGCUUGCAAAAGAGAUUUUUCAAAUCAGUAAUCACCAAUAUUGAAAGGCAUUUAAAUAUUGCUAAUGAGCUAUACCUAGACUCCCAUUGGGGAGUUCCAUGGUCGAGGGAGAUGGGAUUGUUGCUUCUUGAAUAAACAAGCCGCUCGAUGGUUGUGGGUCCGGUCCCAUGGCUUGCGAAAGGGAAUGAUCAAAUUAGUAAAAAAACAAUAUUGAAGCCAAAUUACCAAAAAACAAUUAUUUAUCAAAUUCCAUAUACCCGUACCCUCUUUGGGGAGUCUAUCAACAUUGGUGAUAUCACCAAGAGGGUGUUGGAGCCCAUUUGUCACAUCCAUUUGUCGUUGUCGGUGUCGCUUAGCAAGUGUCACCGUUUCCCAACGAGAACUGAACCGGGCCAAGUCGUUUGAGGACAUCACUGUCAUGGACACUUGUCAUUGGAAAAACAGAUCAACAACUAUCAUCUACUAUAUUUAACCUACUUUAAUCUAUAGUGAAUAGAAGUAAAGCGUGUCCUGAAUUCGAUGAGGUCAUGUAACAUCUGAACAAAGGUAUAGAAGGAAGAGGGAUGGCGAUGAUGAUGUCAAGGAUGUAAUAUCUUGGCAUGUUUGUUACAAUAAUGCUUCUCUAGUUUUUCUGUCCAAUAACCAGCAUUGCCAUCUAAUGCAUUGCUUGCUACAGGUUCCGUAAAAUGGCAGUGGUUAGAGUUCUUCAAAUUAUGUAUAUAGUGGGUGUUUUAUGGGAAACAUAAUUUGAGAACUACUGUCUACUCGAGCCACCCCAGCCUAAUGGUGCCUGCCACGCCUCAUACAUCCGCCAUUUAUACAAGAUUCCACAGUUGACCCCAAGCCCGCGGGAUGAGUAGCCAAGGCACCAAGCUAGCAUUGUCCAGCCUCUUGUCCUACCUAAAGGAAGUUGGAUGCCUCUAGCGUGAGGCCAUGUACAAACUGGAAGAACGGUUGGGGCCAUGCACGAAUCGGACCAACAGUUGGGGCUAUGUCAUACCUCCAAUCGGAGGAGCUAAAGUUAAUGACCUGUGGCUCGCAGCCGCAACGUCACCUAUGGCUUGCAGUCGGAUGGCAAACCUUGAAGAAACAUGCCUCGUUCACCUGCUCCGAUGGAAAUCUUGGAAGCGUGGAGAGGCCUCGCCGCCCCGCUCAGUAGAAACAAUUUGAAAAUUAUUUGUUGUUGUAUAUGGAAGAUGUGAGAUGGAAAUAGUAUGAUUGAUCGGUUUAUGUUUGGGCAUCGGAGGUGUGACAUGGAAAGACAAAAGUAUUCAUUGCUAUACGAUUGUUGUUGUUUAUGGAAGCU
Triticum aestivum (bread wheat) is the source of this 5327-nucleotide long non-coding RNA. RefSeq lists it as uncharacterized. The record is from RefSeq and is a predicted model, not a curated record. The transcript has 3 exons. NCBI's taxonomy places the organism in Eukaryota, Viridiplantae, Streptophyta, Magnoliopsida, Poales, Poaceae.